GUGAUGAGUAGGUUGUCCAGAGUGGUGAAGACUGCCGAGUUCGCUGA
This 47-nucleotide small nucleolar RNA is filed under the name Pyrobaculum neutrophilum V24Sta. Its description in RNAcentral is "PNEsR24". The record is from RNAcentral. Lineage: Archaea; Thermoproteati; Thermoproteota; Thermoprotei; Thermoproteales; Thermoproteaceae.